This 309-nucleotide ribosomal RNA is filed under the name Metschnikowia sp. (in: budding yeasts & allies). RNAcentral's name for it is "Metschnikowia sp. (in: Fungi) partial large subunit ribosomal RNA". It matches the Rfam family "Eukaryotic large subunit ribosomal RNA", at positions 184 to 520 of the family's 3401-position model. Lineage: Eukaryota; Fungi; Ascomycota; Pichiomycetes; Serinales; Metschnikowiaceae. The record is from RNAcentral.
AGUCCAUUGGAAAAUGGCGCCAUGGAGGGUGAUAGCCCCGUAAAAGUAUUCAAACCUUCUUUUCUUCCCCUCCUAAGAGUCGAGUUGUUUGGGAAUGCAGCUCUAAGUGGGUGGUAAAUUCCAUCUAAAGCUAAAUAUUGGCGAGAGACCGAUAGCGAACAAGUACAGUGAUGGAAAGAUGAAAAGCACUUUGAAAAGAGAGUGAAAAAGUACGUGAAAUUGUUGAAAGGGAAGGGCUUGCAAGCAGACACAACCUCGGUUGGGCCAGCAUCGGAGUGGGGGGAGACAAAAAAGGUUAGGAAUGUAGCU